UACGAAGGGUGCAAGCGUUACUCGGAAUUACUGGGCGUAAAGGGCGCGUAGGCGGCGCCGCAAGUCGGAUGUGAAAUCUCUGGGCUUAACCCAGAAAGGUCAACCGAUACUGCGGGGCUAGAGUGCAGAAGGGGCAACUGGAAUUCUCGGUGUAGCGGUGAAAUGCGUAGAUAUCAAGAGGAACACCUGCGGCGAAGGCGGGUUGCUGGGCUGACACUGACGCUGAUGCGCGAAAGCUAGGGGAGCGAACGGG
Molecule: ribosomal RNA, 253 nt
Filed under: uncultured bacterium
Lineage: Bacteria
Description: partial 16S ribosomal RNA
Rfam family: Bacterial small subunit ribosomal RNA
Source: RNAcentral